This is a non-coding RNA of Pelobates cultripes (western spadefoot toad), 226 nucleotides long. Lineage: Eukaryota; Metazoa; Chordata; Amphibia; Anura; Pelobatidae. The record is from the annotation of a GenBank genome assembly.
GCGGAAGAAGGCGGCUCAGCCCCGUACCCCCACAUGAAGAAUCAGAAGGUCGCAGCUCUGGAGCAAGGCUGAGGGCCACUCCCAGCCUGUUUCUACAGAUCCGAAGCAGAGAACUGACAGAGAGUGCCAUAUUGUGGAUGCACAGGGUGCUGAGGUGCAGGUGGUGAAGCUCAUCGACAUCUAUUCCAGGCCUGUAACCACAACCUCUAGACCAGGCAACGGCUGA